Molecule: non-coding RNA, 797 nt
Organism: Sus scrofa (pig)
Lineage: Eukaryota; Metazoa; Chordata; Mammalia; Artiodactyla; Suidae
Source: RefSeq, a predicted model, not a curated record
CCGUCCCUGUAAGCUCUUGGCCUCUGAAGGCCAUCCUCUUUCUGCCCUUCUUUGGCUGCAGAUAAAACCCCCUGAAUUCUUCCACUGCCCGGAAGCUCCAUUAACCUAAGGUUGGGUGGUGAAUAUUCUCCUCCUGACAACUGCUGUUCCCCCUGAACCAGGCACUAGACGGCUGGAUAGGACUUGACAUUUCUGAGAGAGAGAUGCCAUGUGGGGCUCUUGCCCAUAGUGAUCUGAGCCUGUGGCAGGCAGAAGUUCCCAGGCCAGGGAUCGAACCCAUGCCACAGCAGUGACAACGCUGGAUCAUUAACCCGCUAGGCCACCUGGGAACUCCCAUAGGAAACUUUCUGAUGGACUGAGUCUAGACUGAAGCCUUUGGCUGGGAAAGGACACAAACAUUUCUCGAGAAGAAAUUCUCCAUGAUCAAGAGGAGGUGGCCCAGGCUAAACCGAAGGACUUAAGGGGGUUCCAGGUUUGGUCUGAUUCUGAAACAGCGUGUGUGAAUGUGAGGAUGGAAACUCUGCCUGUCUAGCCCCUUUGGCCCAGGGAGGAGGGCUGUGUCACCCCUGAGGGGGCAUUAAGUUCAGCAGUGAUGCUGAGCGGCCGACAGGAGCCGCAGCACAGAAAACCAAGGCCCCCUAGUGGGGAAUUCACCUUGUGGUCAACGGAUUGAGGACCCACCAUGGUCUCUGAGGAUGCGGGUUUGAUCCCCGGCCUUGCUCAGUGGGUUAAAGAUCCGAUGUUGCCGUGAGCUUUGGCGUAGGUCACAGGUGCGGCUCGGAUCUGGCGUUGCUGAG